ACGGGUGAGUAAUGCCUAGGAAUCAGCCUAGUAGUGGGGGACAACGUUUCGAAAGGAACGCUAAUACCGCAUACGUCCUACGGGAGAAAGUGGGGGAUCUUCGGACCUCACGCUAUUAGAUGAGCCUAGGUCGGAUUAGCUAGUUGGUAGGGUAAAGGCCUACCAAGGCGACGAUCCGUAACUGGUCUGAGAGGAUGAUCAGUCACACUGGAACUGAGACACGGUCCAGACUCCUACGGGAGGCAGCAGUGGGGAAUAUUGGACAAUGGGCGAAAGCCUGAUCCAGCCAUGCCGCGUGUGUGAAGAAGGCCUUCGGGUCGUAAAGCACUUUAAGUUGGGAGGAAGGGCUUACAGCGAAUACCUGUGAGUUUUGACGUUACCGACAGAAUAAGCACCGGCUAACUUCGUGCCAGCAGCCGCGGUAUACGAAGGGUGCAAGCGUUAAUCGGAAUUACUGGGCGUGAAGCGCGCGUAGGUGGCUUGAUAAGUUGGAUGUGAAAUCCCCGGGCUCAACCUGGGAACUGCAUCCAAAACUGUCUGGCUAGAGUGUGGUAGAGGGUAGUGGAAUUUCCAGUGUAGCGGUGA
Molecule: ribosomal RNA, 585 nt
Filed under: uncultured bacterium
Lineage: Bacteria
Description: bacterial SSU rRNA
Rfam family: Bacterial small subunit ribosomal RNA
Source: RNAcentral